AGAAGGCCUUCGGGUUGUAAAGCUCUGUCCAGGGGGAAGAAACAAAUGACGGUACCCCUGGAGGAAGCCCCGGCUAACUACGUGCCAGCAGCCGCGGUAAAACGUAGGGGGCAAGCGUUGUCCGGAAUUACUGGGCGUAAAGGGCGUGUAGGCGGCAAUGUAAGUCAGGAGUGAAACCCGCCGGCUUAACCGGCGGCCUGCUUCUGAAACUGCAUGGCUUGAGUGCAGGAGAGGGAAGUGGAAUUCCCAGUGUAGCGGUGAAAUGCGUAGAUAUUGGGAGGAACACCAGUGGCGAAAGCGGCUUCCUGGCCUGUAACUGACGCUGAGGCGCGAAAGCGUGGGGAGCAAACAGGAUUAGAUACCCUGGUAGUCCACGCCGUAAACGAUGGGUGCUAGGUGUUGGGGGUAUCGACCCCUCCAGUGCCGCAGUUAACGCGAUAAGCACCCCGC
RNAcentral lists this ribosomal RNA (450 nucleotides) under uncultured Bacillota bacterium. Its description in RNAcentral is "bacterial SSU rRNA". It matches the Rfam family "Bacterial small subunit ribosomal RNA", at positions 409 to 872 of the family's 1533-position model. The record is from RNAcentral. Lineage: Bacteria; Bacillati; Bacillota.